GCAGGCUUAUGAGCGGCUGCUCCCGCCGCUUUAGCGGCGGGGGAGGAAAGUCCGGGCUCCCCAGGGCGGCGCACCCUGAGAACAUCAGGGCAUCCUUAUUUGAAGGAUAGGAUUAGAGCCACAGAGACGAGUCUGUAACCGCAGAAGACAUUGGUUGCAGGGUGAAACGAGCAAUCUCUGCGCGGAGUAAGGCCAAAUAGGUCCUGGUUAAAAGUUGCCCGCUUUAAAUGUUCGCCGUAAGGCGCGAUAUUGCCAGGACGGGUAGGCUGCAUGAGCCUUGGCGGCAACGUCAGGGUCGAGAGAAAUAGCCGCUCUUAGCGCGAAGUUUUUUCGCGCUAAGACAAAACUCGGCUUACAGUAAGCCUGUCUUA
This 371-nucleotide RNase P RNA is filed under the name Candidatus Omnitrophota bacterium. RNAcentral describes it as "RNase P RNA component class A". It matches the Rfam family "Bacterial RNase P class A". Rfam says of the family: Ribonuclease P (RNase P) is a ubiquitous endoribonuclease, found in archaea, bacteria and eukarya as well as chloroplasts and mitochondria. Its best characterised activity is the generation of mature 5'-ends of tRNAs by cleaving the 5'-leader elements of precursor-tRNAs. The record is from RNAcentral. Lineage: Bacteria; Pseudomonadati; Candidatus Omnitrophota.